Molecule: long non-coding RNA, 467 nt
Filed under: Lupinus mutabilis
Lineage: Eukaryota; Viridiplantae; Streptophyta; Magnoliopsida; Fabales; Fabaceae
Description: partial ncRNA
Source: RNAcentral
GCACAGUUGUGGAUUUUGUUUCUUGUCUGGUUGUCAUGUUAACAAUCAUUGAUUAUAUUUUUCUCUUCUUGAUUUUGGUAGGCCAUGCAAAAAUAGUGACACAUGACAUAAGAACACUAUCAUUCCUAAGAGAUACUAUUUUACCAAUCGAGUUGCAGGCUCCUUGGAGACACCUUUUAGUGGAGAAUUCAUCAGGACCAAGGCUGCAUCACUUGUUUCAACAGUACUACACGAAAUCCAAUUGCGGAACACACUCGAAACUCUAGUAGAAUUGCUUCUGAGCUUCGUAUAAGAGGACCGCGACGAAGACGAUGAUGAUGAAGCUGAAGAAAAGGAAUACUCAGCUGUAUCAGUUUUAUUGUUAUCAUCUUUUUUACCAUUCUUAGUCAACAGAUUGUGAUACAAAGUUUUCUCUAAUUUCUCUUCAUUGAAACUCUCUUUGCUUGUCCACAAAGGCUUCUCUUCUU